GACGAACGCUGGCGGCGUGCCUAAGACAUGCAAGUCGAGCGAGGGAACUUCGGUUUCCGAGCGGCGGACGGGUGAGUAACGCGUGGGUAACCUGCCCUUCAGCCCGGGAUAACUGCCUGAAAAGGUGGCUAAUACCGGAUGCGGUGAUGAGGUCGCAUGAACUGAUCACGAAAAUUACGGUGCUGAAGGAUGGGCCCGCGUCCCAUUAGCUAGUUGGUGAGGUAACGGCCCACCAAGGCGACGAUGGGUAGCCGGCCUGAGAGGGUGGACGGCCACACUGGGACUGAGACACGGCCCAGACUCCUACGGGAGGCAGCAGUCGGGAAUCUUCCACAAUGGGCGAAAGCCUGAUGGAGCGACGCCGCGUGAGGGAAGAAGGUCUUCGGAUCGUAAACCUCUGUCCUCAGGGACGAUGAUGACGGUACCUGAGGAGGAAGCCACGGCUAACUACGUGCCAGCAGCCGCGGUAAACUACUCGUA
RNAcentral lists this ribosomal RNA (480 nucleotides) under uncultured bacterium. Its description in RNAcentral is "bacterial SSU rRNA". It matches the Rfam family "Bacterial small subunit ribosomal RNA", at positions 28 to 529 of the family's 1533-position model. The record is from RNAcentral.